UCUGUCAUUUAAAUUGAAAGAAAAUUAACAAAGUGAUUAUAUAUAUUAAAAAAAAAAAAUCGGGACUUCCCUGGUGGUCUGGUGGUUAAGACUCCAUGUUUCCACUGUAGGGGGCGUGGGUUUGAUCCCUGGUCGGGGAACUAAGAUCCUUCAAGCCACAAGGAGCGCCAGAAAAAAAAGAAGCAGCAGAUUAGAGACUAUAAACUCCCCCAGGCCCAUCUGACCGCAAGAGAUAAGGCAGAAAUGAAACUGAAAAAUAGUGCUGAAGUGCCGAUGUGAAACUCUGGGCAGAAAGGGGAACCCUUCCUGAAUGUGGCAAAGCUCAGCUCUCUUUCCUGGGGAGGCCAUUGUUAUGUCAUCAGCCCCCAGCCUGGCCCCCGGCACACCUGGUCAGUUACCUGGGGAAGGACAGAGAGGCGGGCGGAGUAAUCAGCUCAGAAUGCGGAGACCUGGGUUGCCUGGGUUGCAACCUGGGUUGCCUGGGUUUCUACCCAGGCUCUGCCCCUUCCUCAAAGCUGUGACCUUGAGAAGGCAAGCUGUGGAGAGAGCUGCUGAUCCAUGCUUAAAGGGAGAACAUCUCCUCUCCCCCUCCCCAAGGCCACGGCAGCCCCUGUGUCCCUCCCAGCCAGGCAGGAAGGAGGAAAGGGGUGAGCAUCUGGAGAGAGCAACAGUUUCCUUUUUGUGCAUUUUACAGGGUCAGCAAUUCAUGUCCUGGCCUGGGGACAGUGGUGGGGCGGUGCUGAGGAGGGGAAGCUGCAGGGGAACAGGAGAUGAAGUCAGAGAGCUCUGACUCCUGCCUUGGGCAUCAGAGGACAGACAUCCCCGAGGCAGAGGACUAUCGGCAUUGAACCAGCAUCUCCCUCUAAGGUCCACUCUGCGAAAUGGAGUCAGUCCAAAGCUGGUGAUCUUCAAUUUAAUAGUAGAAAUAUCUUCAUCAUCCAGAAAUCACUGGAAGAACAACUCAAAUCAUCUAGAAUAUUGAAGAGAACGCAGAAAGGAAGCUGAAAAAUCCCACAGAAGGGCCACCUCAAGGUUGCCACACCCAAGAAUUCAAGUUCAUACCCUUGACCCACGAGAGUUUCUCAGGCGCCAUCACUCAUUUCAGACUCAUUUCCGAAAACAGGGGCUUUUUCUUCUCGUCUCUUCUGGCAGGUCUGAGGUGGUGAGACUUGGAAAGGGAGAAGGGGGCCGUUGUGAGGAUCAGACAUGGUGAACAGCACAACCUGACCGAGGCAGCCAGACUGGAAGGAGGGGAAAGGGAGCGUGAAGGGGUGAGAGGGGAAGACACACAGCCACCCAGGGCCGUUUACGGGGCGAGCGCCCUUGCGAGGGCUCUGGCUUCACAAAGGUGUUAAAUAUUAAGCAAGCUUGACUGGCUUGAAUUUAAAGCAGGUCUAAGAAGGGCUCCAGAGACGCAGCAUCUCAGAAAUGAGAGCUCACAGACUCAUAGCUGUUUCGAAACAGAGGAUCACAGGGGGCAAAGGCGGAGAACUUGAGAGCGUAUCAUCCAAGACUCACGGACUCGAACUCCUCUGUGGGAGCAGCCAGGUCACACGAGUGAAAGGAAAGGCAGGGCGUGGUCGUGGGCAGUGACGGGGCUGUCACAAGCCCCCUGACCACGGGCCGGGUCUCAGAAAGGCAGCUCUCCCGGGUCACCCCCGCGGUGGAGGAACCGGGCCCCUUUUUUCAACAGAAGGUCAAAAUCGAAUUUUAAGAUGCAAUGCACAAUUUUUAAACCUGGACAGCUCAUUUCAAUUUUCUAAACAGUGAGCAAAAGUGAAAGUCGCUCAGUUGUGUCCGGCUCUUUGUGACCCCAUGGACUGUAUAGUAUAAUUCUCCAGGCCAGAAUACUGGAGUGGGUAGCCUUUCCCUUCUCCAGGGCAUCUUCCCAACCCAGGUAUCAAACCCAGGUCUCCCGUAUUGCAGGCGGAUUCUUUACCAGCUGAGUCACAAGAGAAGCCCAAGAAUAGUGGGUAGCCUGUCCCUUCUCCAGCAGAUCUUCCUGACCCAGGGAUCGAACCUUCUGGGUCUCCCGCAUUUCCGGAGGAUUCUUCACCAGCUGAG
Long non-coding RNA from Capra hircus (goat), 2064 nucleotides. The record is from Ensembl. Lineage: Eukaryota; Metazoa; Chordata; Mammalia; Artiodactyla; Bovidae.